This is a long non-coding RNA of Salvelinus sp. IW2-2015, 561 nucleotides long. RefSeq lists it as uncharacterized. The record is from RefSeq and is a predicted model, not a curated record. NCBI's taxonomy places the organism in Eukaryota, Metazoa, Chordata, Actinopteri, Salmoniformes, Salmonidae.
UACUACAGAGUGAUAGACCGUUUUGUCAACAUGAAAGGAGAAUGGCAUUUGCGUUUCUCUACAAGUCGGUCUAUGAAGGUUUGUCAUCUGAUUUCCCGGAGCCUGGUGGCGAUGGAUGCAACCAUACAAUUUAGGACAUUCCCCUACAUCCAGGUUGAGGCCUGCUACCAGCAAGAACAUGGAGCACGCCAUGUCAGUUCACCAGCUGACCUCUAUCAAGACACCGAUGUCGACUGAAUUUCCACUGUGAAGAUGAGCAAUGCUGCAUCAGUUUCUACUUCUACUUCGUCCUUUUCCAGAUAUGAUAGCAGACAUAUGAGAUUGUUGUCAUUUUACUUUGGACUAUCUGAAUGAAUGAUUCUGCUGUUUGAGUAGAGCGCACCUUCACCUUGUCGUCAUGACAAAAGAUGCACCCUUAAACCAUAUGAAUAUAUAAAAUCUAAUUUGGAAUGUGUAAAAUAAUAUUGUAAACAUUCUGUACUUUAAUAGUAGGCUACAUUGUUAUGGGUGAAAUAAAGUAUACUGAACAUAAAUAUAAACGCAACAAUUUUAAAUAUUUUA